AUGGCGGACAUGAUCCUGGGCUCGGCACAGGGAGCCGUGGACUCCCUCCUGGGGCGUCUGACAUCGGUCCUCGUUGACGAGGUGCAGCUGCUUGGUGAGGCCGACGAGGAGGACCACCAAGUCGGAGCGUGGAUGAAGCAAGUCGCGGAGGUCGCCUAUGCCUCCCGGAACAGCAUCGAUCGGUACAUUCAGAGGAUCGGUGCUGGCCGCAGGGAGCCAGGCCUCCUAGGCUACCUGGGGCGGCUGCCCAAGUUGGUGUGGACGUUGCCGGCGAUGCGUCACCGCAUCGCCAAUCAGAUCCGGGAGCUCAAGAUCCGGUCGUGCGAGGUGGGGGGGAGGCGCAUGAGGUAUGACGUCAAAGUGCCCGAGCCCAACGGAGACCGUGCAAAGUUCAUGAAGAAGGCAGGGUGGCAAGCUGCCAGAAAUGAUGACACCAAGGAGCAGGAAGAUGCUCAACGGCGUGACUUGGCUGAUGCUCUCCAGUCGCCUAAGAAUACCUACUAUGAGAGCACCUUGAUAAAGCUGUUGACGGAUGUAGGACAGGACCAUCUUAAAGUCCUAGCAAUUGUAGGAAUGGGUGGCUUAGGCAAAACUACUCUCGCUCGGAGAGCUUGGCAGAGUGUGGUAAGCUCAUUUGACUGCAAGGCUUGGAUCUGCGUAUCCAAUUCAAAUUCAGAUUUCAUGUUCUUCCGGGAGGUCCUAGAAGCACUGGCCAGUCCAUCAGAUCAAUUCGAUUUGGAUGGCAAGAAGGAGGAAGAGCUUAUGGCACAGCUUCAGUUGCACCUGAAAGGUAAAAGAUUCUUGCUUGUGUUUGAUGAUGUCUGGGGUAUAUCUUGGGGAAGAGCUCUAUGGAAUCGUAUCAAAUCUGCUUUCCCCCAUGAGAAUUGCUCUGCUGGUAGUGCCAUACUGAUUACCACACGUUCGAUUGAUGUGGCCCACUCAUUUUCUCCCAAUGAAUACUUAGAUUUGGACACUGAUAGUUAUUUCUAUGUGUGCAACGCAAUGGACCUAAUGAACAGCAACAACCAAAGCACUUAUCUGCGGCCUCUUUCACGGGAAAUUGUCUCAAAACCCUUGCCAGUCAGGUUGUUUCUACGUGCUCUCUAUGUCAAUCCUAACAGGACCAAAGCUGAUUUGCAGAGUCUGUGUGACAGCCUGGACAGCUCCAAACCAUCAAUGACGAACAAUCAAGCUGAGAAGGAACAAUAUGCAACUUGUUCCCAAGCCUGUUGGGAUAUUUGUCGCCCUUCCCGUCCAAGUGAACAAACAACAGUUGAACAGUCCAAUGCCACAGCCACUCAAGAAUUUUUGGAGUCGCUUCCUUCGUCGACUCACUUGGGGAUUCUGAAGGUGCUUGAUCUAGAAAACUGCAAUGAAUUGAAGAACCACCAUCUGAAAAACAUUUGCAGCCAUGUGUUACACCUGAAGUACUUGAGCCUUCGGAAAACUGGCAUUACUCAACUACCCAAGCAGCUUGACAAGCUUCAGUCCCUAGAGACCUUGGACAUUCGUCAAACAGAAGUAAAAGCAUUCGCCAAAAAUUCAGUUUUUCUACCAAAGCUAAAGCACCUACAAGCUGGACACUGGACUGAUGACACAACCCAAGGUAGCGACCAAUCUGAAGAGACAUUUCUCACCGUGUCGCUGCCCAAACGUAUCGGGGACAUGACAGAACUGCAGGUGCUAUCUCAUAUUGCAGUUUCUGGCAAAGGCGAUGAACUAAUUGAUGUUCGCAACCUACUCCAGUUGGUUAAGUUGGGUGUGGUUCUCUCUGGGAGCAAGAGAUCAGUCUUCUGGCAUUUGUACCAUGCAAUUGGAAAGCUUAGGAAAUGUCUUCGCUCACUGUCAAUCCGUGUCACAGAACUGACAAGCAACGAAGAGGAUGACAACAUGAACAUUGAAGAAGCACCCCUCAUACAUCCCAAGUAUCUUCAGAAGCUAAAAAUCAGUGGCCUGAAAUAUGGAUUGCCCUCAUGGAUUAAAAAGCUCGACGUACUUACCAAAAUAACCCUCCAUAUGACUUUCAUAACGGAUGAUGACUUCAAAUUCCUCGGAGAGCUUAAAAGCUUGUCCUGCCUUAGGCUCCAACGAGAGUCAUGCAAUGAAAACACACCCACCUUCAAAAAAGAUGCAUUUCAAAGUCUCAAGUUCCUGGAUAUUGAGUGCUCAGCCAUUACCAGUAUCAAAUUUGUCAAAGAGGCAUCUCCUAUGCUGAAGAAGUUAGUUUGGUCUUCUACUCGUGAACAGUCUCUUUCUGGGAUUGAGGACCUUCCAAGUUUCCGAGAGCUCAAGUUGACAGGCAUCUUUGACUUGCAAAGUGUGGAACAAGCAAUGGCAGCAAACAAGAACAAGCCUAUCUUGGUAGCAAACCCAAUAAAUGCUUAG
RNAcentral lists this ribosomal RNA (2385 nucleotides) under Triticum aestivum (bread wheat). RNAcentral's name for it is "partial small subunit ribosomal RNA". Lineage: Eukaryota; Viridiplantae; Streptophyta; Magnoliopsida; Poales; Poaceae. The record is from RNAcentral.